AAAGGGUAUUGCAGAAUUCACUUAUCAACAUUCAACCACGAAAACAGAAAAGAACCAACGCCAAUACUCCCUUUUAGAAGAAUCUAUAGUGGAGAAGGGACAAGAAUUUGGCAAUACAGAGAAGAGGGAGGGGACAGGAGAUUCGGCAAAGGGGACUAAAGAAGUAUUCGGUCAAAACAAAACAAGAGAAAAAAAAGAAUAAAAGGGAAAAGCAGGAAAACAAAAGAGCAAACCCGAGAGGUACCCGAAGUCUUUAGCAAAAUUAAGCACAAGAAAAAGAUGAAAGAAAAACUGACCAAAGUCGAAGCAAACGGAGAGAAAAACAACCCCAAAACUGAUUCCCUUAAUGCCUAAAGACCAAAUUCAGCACAAGCAUACCCCCAAACGGCACAACUCCCCCUCACUCCCAAACUCCUUGAUUUCCUCCUAAAAUCUCUCCCCUUAUCCUUCCUUGAAUCACUCUAUGAUCAGUUCAAACUCCUUUUAGCAGUAUUCUAGUCCAACUUCACCACCUACCCAACUCAAGCAGCAAAAUAAAUAAUCCAUUGCUCAAC
This 554-nucleotide long non-coding RNA is filed under the name Gossypium raimondii (Peruvian cotton). RNAcentral's name for it is "long non-coding RNA (GRAI_LNC001459)". The record is from RNAcentral. Lineage: Eukaryota; Viridiplantae; Streptophyta; Magnoliopsida; Malvales; Malvaceae.